Molecule: long non-coding RNA, 817 nt
Filed under: Sorghum bicolor (sorghum)
Lineage: Eukaryota; Viridiplantae; Streptophyta; Magnoliopsida; Poales; Poaceae
Description: long non-coding RNA (SBIC_LNC013063)
Source: RNAcentral
CACAAGGGGACAAGGGAUUUGGUAGGGAGCCACUUGCUGUGUACAAAGUUCGGCGAGGGCCACUUCCAUCGAUCCAUCCAUCUACUACUGCUGUUGCAAUGUCAACGCACAAUUAUUACUCAAAGCUUGCAGAAUCUACAAGUUAUACCAUCCAAAAACCAACAGUUUUCUCUUAUUGGCACUUUCUAGGUCGUGCCAUGAUUCCCUGAAACAUAGGAAUACCUUUUAAUUUCUCCCUCUAGGAGUAUACUACUUUUAUAAGUAAUGAUGAUAUUAUAUAUGAGAGAAUAAACCUACUUAACGCCGCCAAAAGUUUGGCGGAGUCAGGUUUUCAAGUGUCAAUCGUAGAUAUUCAACAUAAUCUUGUUCAAGUAUCCAAGCCGGGCAAAAGUGUCAAAGGUUGGAAGAGGAGUCUGUAUUGAGAAAAAAAAAGUUAGUGAAGCCUAGCAGAAAAAAAGAGAAAAGAGCUACAAUUGCAACAUAUACCUCCAUGGGCUUUGUGGAAUGCUGGCAAUGCGGGCAUGGAUGGUGAGCAACCAACGGGUGAAAAAAAACAUGGAUACUACUACAAUGAUGUCUAUAAUAAAAAAAAGGAAAAAGUACAUAUUACGUUCCACAACUUUCACAAAAGUCGCCUUUUUCUCUCUGGACUCUAAAACCGGAUAAAACAUCACUCUCAACUUUAAAACCGUUUAUCUUACCUCCCUAACCCGGUUAUAAGCGGUUUUGAAGACGAUUUUGUAUAUUAUUUAUUUAUUUAUUUUAGCUGAAUAUUUGAAAAGUCAUAAAAUAGAAGAUCCAAUUUUGUUGGACUCCA